GACGAACGCUGGCGGCGUGCUUAACACAUGCAAGUCGAACGGAAAGGCCCUGCUUUUGUGGGGUGCUCGAGUGGCGAACGGGUGAGUAACACGUGAGUAACCUGCCCUUGACUUUGGGAUAACUUCAGGAAACUGGGGCUAAUACCGGAUAGGAGCUCCUGCUGCAUGGUGGGGGUUGGAAAGUUUCGGCGGUUGGGGAUGGACUCGCGGCUUAUCAGCUUGUUGGUGGGGUAGUGGCUUACCAAGGCUUUGACGGGUAGCCGGCCUGAGAGGGUGACCGGCAACAUUGGGACUGAGAUACGGCCCAGACUCCUACGGGAGGCAGCAGUGGGGAAUAUUGCACAAUGGGCGGAAGCCUGAUGAAGCAACGCCGCGUGCGGGAUGACGGCCUUCGGGUUGUAAACCGCUUUCGCCUGUGACGAAGCGUGAGUGACGGUAAUGGGUAAAGAAGCACCGGCUAACUACGUG
RNAcentral lists this ribosomal RNA (468 nucleotides) under uncultured bacterium. RNAcentral's name for it is "partial 16S ribosomal RNA". It matches the Rfam family "Bacterial small subunit ribosomal RNA", at positions 28 to 507 of the family's 1533-position model. The record is from RNAcentral.